UCUUUCUCUCUCUGCCUUUCUCUUUCUUUAUCUUUAUAUAUAUUUCCUUCUAGGGUAUAAAUCGAUUCAAUGCAGGAUAUCAUCAAGUCGAUCUCCCACGACUUCAACAGUAAAACUUAUUUUUCCCCAACGCAUUUCACAAUCAAUUUAGAAAACUCGUUUAAAUCAUUGAUGACAGAUACCGAAACGUUUGCCCGUACACGGAUAUGCAAUUGCGGAUUUAAAUAACCGUUGUACGUUUUCUAACAAUCUAGAGUGGGCUGGACAUGGAUGUGUUUGUUGGGAAAUCUGGGAGAGUCACAAACAACAAAAAUGCAUUAGGUCUGCGACACAAACAUGGGCCAAACGAGAGCUGACAAAGCGAGGAAGCCACAACAAGACCUGCGGCAAUUUCCGAGCCUUCUGAUGAUAUUGACAUUUAUGCUCGGCAGAUAGUCCCCAGCCCGCACGGCCUUUAGCCGACAACCAACAGCCGACAGCCGACACAGUCACCCUGCUCCCAGUCCUCAGCUGGGCUUUUGUUUUUUGGUAGCUUCAUCUUUUUUAACCAAAAUGCUGGGCACUGUUUUUGUUGACACUUGACAGCACCUGCCGCCUGCCUGCCAGCCUGCCAGCCUACCACUCUGUGGGUGGCCCUCUCCAGGCCUGCUUUAGUGUGAAUACAGGGCACAUUUUGAGGCUAUGAAUGAUUCUAUGUAGCACUGCGCAUUAGAAUCGAGUUGAACGUGAAAUGACGCAGUUUGCAGCGUCGAGCACAACAACACAUGACCACAAUAAUAAGGCCAUAUUUGUUUAGUGCCCAUAAAGAGCUGGACACAGCAAGCCGCCCCCGCGGUCAUCGGACAACUUGUUGAAAUCUACGUCGUAACAUGAAGGAAUCGUAGAGCGAGAACACACCAGAGUCCGUGUCCAAUCAAUGCCAACUGGCUUUUGUUUGCAUUUCAAUUUCAGCUGGUGCCACUUCUUCUGUUGCCCGACUCUGGUGCCAUUUAAAAAUCAACGCAAAGUGCCUUCAUUAUGCGAUUCUGGACCGUUGCAAUGCCAAGGGCUAGCAUAUUUAUAUGUGCGUUCAACCGUGAAAGCUCCCACAAAAGGCGUAACAAUCAGGCCGGCGUAUAAAAAAAGAAUAUAGAUAUAUAUUUUUAUCUAAAUAUAUAUGUAUGUAUA
This is a long non-coding RNA of Drosophila mojavensis, 1167 nucleotides long. RefSeq lists it as uncharacterized. The record is from RefSeq and is a predicted model, not a curated record. Lineage: Eukaryota; Metazoa; Arthropoda; Insecta; Diptera; Drosophilidae. The transcript has 2 exons.